Molecule: RNA transcript, 2185 nt
Organism: Zea mays
Lineage: Eukaryota; Viridiplantae; Streptophyta; Magnoliopsida; Poales; Poaceae
Gene name: ADP-ribosylation factor - post-GPI attachment to proteins factor pseudogene
Exons: 12
Source: RefSeq, marked validated
CCCGCGCGCUCCACACGUCCCCGCCGUCGCGCUCGCCUUCCAUCCUCCUCCCCACCCCCUCCUUCCAUCCUCGCUCGCGCGCUCCGCAUGUCCCCGCCGUCGCGCUCGCCUCCCUCCUCUUUGUUGCCUCCGCGUCGGCCUCCACCCCGCUCUCCGACACGCUUGCCGUCGUCUUGGAUUUCUGGUGCACUCUCUUCUCUACGACGCGAGCAAGGGCGGCGCUUGCCAUGGCAUCGACGGGAACCAGGCAUCACUCUCCCUAUCUCUUGGGAUGGUACAGGCAGGAGGAUCAGGCCACCGUCGAGGAACGCGCUCUUCGCUGUGUUCCAGCGAGAAGAUGAGGGAUCGAGGGCGGCGCAGGUGGCGAGCUCGUGGGCGGAACAGACUGGUGAGAGCAAGAGGAUGGAUCAGGAGCUUGAGCCCCAGAGACAUGCCAGUGAGGAGCAGUUUAGUCGGUUCUUGCUUUAUGAAGUGGAUGCAAUUAGAAAGACGUACGAGCGGGCCAACAUCUCGCGGUGGCUCGCCUUGGGCAACCGGACCUGCCCGACCACGAUGCAGGAGCUCUAGGACGACGCCCUCACCCCCAACGCCACUCUCCGACAACUCAUCGCCGCCUGGUUCUCCCGCCUGGUUUCUGCAUUUUGUUUUCUUAUCUGUCAAUCAUGUUUUUCCAUAUUACUGCAGGUGGGUCUGAUUAAUUAUUUAAAUGUAGUUUAUCUUAGAUAUUGUUUGAACGUAUGGGAUGUUGGAGGACAGAAGACAAUCAUGUCUUACUGGAGAAAUUACUUUGAGCAGACUAAUGGGUUAGUUUGGUUUGCUGAUAGUUCAGACAUAAGGAGGCUUGAUGAUUGCCGUGCUGAACUCCACAAUCUCUUGAAAGAAGAGGAUAAAGGUUUACCUAUCUAGGCAGUGUUCUAUUGUUGAUUUUUGCAAAUAAGCAAGACAUGCAAGGAGCUCUAAAACCAACUGGAAUCGCGAAGGUAAGCGAACUUCAGUCAUUUAUUAUAUGCAUUAGAGACAUGUUUUCCUGUCUAUGACAUCAUUUUUAACUUGUACUGUGUUUUUCCGGUCCUCAUGGUUGCCAAGAUUUUACUUAGUUCGAUGUGGGAGCAAAAGGAUAUGCCAAAUUGAAUGUAGUUUCAUCAGUUAUGCUCUAUUAUGGAUGUUCAGAGGCAUCCAAUUUCAGUGUGUACUGCAAUACUUGGGUCCACCUAGUCACUCUCCGACAGCUCAUCGCCGCUUGGUUCUCCUGUCGGUACACAAGGUUUAAGAAGCGCUACGCGGACUUCCACGGCCGCGCUGCCGAUCUCGUCCACGGCCUCCGGGGCACGGCGAUGCCCAGGAGACAGGCCCUCGAGGAAGAGCAAUGUACAGAAGAGAAAGGUAUCUCGACUAUUCCAAAGCACAAGUAUGCAUCCAAAGCCUGUUCCCCAAAAGGAACCUUUAUCUGCAGCUCUCUCUGCGCUUACUCUUGUUGUGCAAUUUAAUGGGUGGCUAUCAUUUUUCCUCUUGCUUUAUUAUAAACUUCCUCUGCGGCCAGAAACUCACAAGACAUACUAUGAAUACACUGGCUUGUGGCACAUCUAUGGGCUCCUUGCCAUGAAUUCAUGGUUCUGGAGUGCCAUAUAUCACAGUUGUGACACAAUUUGGACAGAAAAAGCUAUAUUUUUCAUCAGAUGCUGCCUUUCUAGGGUAUUCCCUCAUUUUGACGAUAGUUGAUUAAUCAUUCUGGAACUUGUACUAACAAUUGAAGCAAGUGGAGGCAUAGCACCAAUUGUGUCUGUGCUGCAGCUCUGGAUGUCAGUAGACAAGAGGUGUAUCAGAGAGAAGCACUUCAAGGUUAAUUUGUUGAGCAAAUUGGAGAUGCUGGAUUUUGUAUUUUGGUUGCUCAUGGGUGGUGAAUGAUCUGACGACUUCAGAAGAGGAUAGAUCUGAGAUUACCUUUCAUGCAUGUCAAGGAAGUUAAGUAGCUGAUGCCAUCAAAGCAAUGGAGAAACGUCAGGUGAACCGCGAGCAGAAUUCUGUGGCGCAUUUGUUAGCGCAGUUAGUUAGGACUCUGUUCAUACAACUGUUCGAUUAAGCCAAAUACCUAAUUUAGUUUUAUAUUGGUUGUUGUCAAAGAAUUUGUGAAAUAUUGAGGUUGAUAAUAUAUGUGGCGUUCGUUUUUAUGUAAUCAUUGUUCACU